Molecule: ribosomal RNA, 442 nt
Filed under: uncultured bacterium
Lineage: Bacteria
Description: partial 16S ribosomal RNA
Rfam family: Bacterial small subunit ribosomal RNA
Source: RNAcentral
CCUACGGGUGGCUGCAGUGGGGAAUAUUGGGCAAUGGGCGCAAGCCUGACCCAGCAACGCCGCGUGAAGGAAGAAGGCUUUCGGGUUGUAAACUUCUUUUAAUAGGGAAGAGCAGAAGACGGUACCUCUUGAAUAAGCCACGGCUAACUACGUGCCAUCAGCCGCGGUAAUACGUAGGUGGCAGGCGUUGUCCGGAUUUACUGGGUGUAAAGGGCGUGUAGCCGGGAUGACAAGUCAGAUGUGAAAUUCCGGGGCUCAACCCCGGAACUGCGUUUGAAACUGUUGGUCUUGAGUGUCGGAGAGGCAGGCGGAAUGCCUAGUGUAGCGGUGAAAUGCGUAGAUAUUAGGAGGAACACCAGUGGCGAAGGCGGCAUGCUGGCGGACAACUGACGGUGAGGCGCGAAAGCGUGGGGAGCAAACAGGAUUAGAUACCCUAGUAGUC